AACGCAUAUGGCACCCGAGACCUCGGUCGAGGGUAUGUCUGCCUCAGAGUCGGCGUACUAUCAUCCCCCGAGGCGGUCGGGCGAACCGACCCCGAGGGGGGAACUGGCCCUCCCGCGCCGCGUGCGCGGGUCGGACGAAGGGGAGAGACGGGUUCACAUGGCCGGCGACCUUCCCGGCUGACCGAGAUUUGUUGGAAGGGCUUUCAGGUCCGACUUUAUCGUCUCGGUACGGGGUAAGGCAAGACCGUGGUGGCCCGCUUUGCAGGAACGUACAAUUUUUUUUUUCCGACCUGAGUUCAGGCAAGAUCACCCGCUGAACUUAA
RNAcentral lists this unclassified non-coding RNA (323 nucleotides) under uncultured fungus. RNAcentral describes it as "partial contains 5.8S ribosomal RNA, internal transcribed spacer 2, and large subunit ribosomal RNA". The record is from RNAcentral. Lineage: Eukaryota; Fungi.